Molecule: ribosomal RNA, 498 nt
Filed under: uncultured bacterium
Lineage: Bacteria
Description: partial 16S ribosomal RNA
Rfam family: Bacterial small subunit ribosomal RNA
Source: RNAcentral
GACGAACGCUGGCGGCGUGCCUAAUACAUGCAAGUCGAGCGGACGAAUCGAAAUCGGGCUUUUGAUUCGUUGGCGGCGGACGGGUGAUUAACACGUGGGCAACCUGCCCUGGGGGCGGGGAUAACACCAAGAGAUCUAUUCUCGUACCCGAUAAGACGGAAUGUCGCGGGACGCUUCGUUCCACGCCGUCGCAGGCUGUCGCAAGACGGAUUGCCGGCGGCGCAUUAGCUAGUUGGUGGGGUAACGGCUCACCAAGGCGACGAUGCGUAGCCGACCUGAGAGGGUGACCGGCCACACUGGGACUGAGACACGGCCCAGACUCCUACGGGAGGCAGCAGUAGGGAAUCUUCGGCAAUGGACGAAAGUCUGACCCAGCAACGCCGCGUGAGCGAAGAAGGCCUUCGGGUCGUAAAGCUCUGUUGUUAGGGAAGAACAAGACACGCCGUAACCGGCGUUACGGUGACGGUACCUAACGAGUAAGCACCGGCUAACUACGUG